AGAGUUUGAUCAUGGCUCAGGAAUGAACGCUAGCUACAGGCUUAACACAUGCAAGUCGAGGGGCAGACAUGAACUUAGCUUGCUAAGUUUUGAUGGUCGACCGGCGCACGGGUGAGUAACACGUAUCCAACCUGCCGAUGACUCGGGGAUAGCCUUUCGAAAGGAAAGAUUAAUACCCGAUGGCAUAGUUCUUCCGCAUGGUAGAACUAUUAAAGAAUUUCGGUCAUCGAUGGGGAUGACGUUCC
This 245-nucleotide ribosomal RNA is filed under the name uncultured bacterium. Its description in RNAcentral is "partial 16S ribosomal RNA". It matches the Rfam family "Bacterial small subunit ribosomal RNA", at positions 8 to 239 of the family's 1533-position model. The record is from RNAcentral.